GUCUGAGUGGCUCAGUCGGUUGAGUGUCUGACUUCAGCUCAGGGCAUGAUCUCACAGUCCGUGGGUUCAAGCCCCGCAUCGGGCU
RNAcentral lists this transfer RNA (85 nucleotides) under Felis catus (domestic cat). It matches the Rfam family "tRNA". Rfam says of the family: Transfer RNA (tRNA) molecules are approximately 80 nucleotides in length. Their secondary structure includes four short double-helical elements and three loops (D, anti-codon, and T loops). Lineage: Eukaryota; Metazoa; Chordata; Mammalia; Carnivora; Felidae. The record is from Rfam by way of RNAcentral.